CUGGCGGCGUGCCUAAUACAUGCAAGUCGAGCGAACAGAGAAGGAGCUUGCUCCUUCGACGUUAGCGGCGGACGGGUGAGUAACACGUGGGCAACCUACCUUAUAGUUUGGGAUAACUCCGGGAAACCGGGGCUAAUACCGAAUAAUCUGUUUCACCUCAUGGUGAAACACUGAAAGACGGUUUCGGCUGUCGCUAUAGGAUGGGCCCGCGGCGCAUUAGCUAGUUGGUGAGGUAACGGCUCACCAAGGCGACGAUGCGUAGCCGACCUGAGAGGGUGAUCGGCCACACUGGGACUGAGACACGGCCCAGACUCCUACGGGAGGCAGCAGUAGGGAAUCUUCCACAAUGGGCGAAAGCCUGAUGGAGCAACGCCGCCGUGAGUGAAGAAGGAUUUCGGUUCGUAAAACUCUGUUGUAAGGGAAGAACAAGUACAGUAGUAACUGGCUGUACCUUGACGGUACCUUAUUAGAAAGCCACGGCUAAAUACGUGCCAGCCGCAGC
This 502-nucleotide ribosomal RNA is filed under the name uncultured bacterium. RNAcentral's name for it is "bacterial SSU rRNA". It matches the Rfam family "Bacterial small subunit ribosomal RNA", at positions 36 to 518 of the family's 1533-position model. The record is from RNAcentral.